GAGGGUAUAGCUCAAGUGAUAGAGCACAUGCUUAGCAUGCACGAGGUCCUGGGUUCAAUCCCCAGUACCUCCA
Molecule: transfer RNA, 73 nt
Filed under: Camelus bactrianus (Bactrian camel)
Lineage: Eukaryota; Metazoa; Chordata; Mammalia; Artiodactyla; Camelidae
Also listed under: 1 other name
Rfam family: tRNA
About the family: Transfer RNA (tRNA) molecules are approximately 80 nucleotides in length. Their secondary structure includes four short double-helical elements and three loops (D, anti-codon, and T loops).
Source: Rfam by way of RNAcentral